RNAcentral lists this ribosomal RNA (253 nucleotides) under uncultured bacterium. RNAcentral describes it as "partial 16S ribosomal RNA". It matches the Rfam family "Bacterial small subunit ribosomal RNA", at positions 524 to 776 of the family's 1533-position model. The record is from RNAcentral.
UACGUAGGGGGCAAGCGUUGUCCGGAAUUAUUGGGCGUAAAGAGCGCGUAGGCGGUCCGAUAAGUCGGCUGUGAAAGUCAGGGGCUCAACCCUUGGAAGCCGGCCGAUACUGUCGGACUAGAGUCCGGAAGAGGCGAGUGGAAUUCCCGGUGUAGCAGUGAAAUGCGCAGAUAUCGGGAGGAACACCGAUGGCGAAGGCAGCCUCCUGGGCCAACACUGACGCUCAUGCACGAAAGCGUGGGGAGCAAACAGG